Molecule: non-coding RNA, 48 nt
Organism: Schistosoma rodhaini
Lineage: Eukaryota; Metazoa; Platyhelminthes; Trematoda; Strigeidida; Schistosomatidae
Source: Rfam
AUCCAGCUGAUGAGUCCCAAAUAGGAUGAAGUAACGUGCGUCCUGGAU